AUUGAACGCUGGCGGCAGGCCUAACACAUGCAAGUCGAGCGGAUGAAGGGAGCUUGCUUCUGGAUUCAGCGGCGGACGGGUGAGUAAUGCCUAGGAAUCUGCCUGGUAGUGGGGGAUAACGUCCGGAAACGGGCGCUAAUACCGCAUACGUCCUGAGGGAGAAAGUGGGGGAUCUUCGGACCUCACGCUAUCAGAUGAGCCUAGGUCGGAUUAGCUAGCUGGUGGGGUAAAGGCCUACCAAGGCGACGAUCCGUAACUGGUCUGAGAGGAUGAUCAGUCACACUGGAACUGAGACACGGUCCAGACUCCUACGGGAGGCAGCAGUGGGGAAUAUUGGACAAUGGGCGAAAGCCUGAUCCAGCCAUGCCGCGUGUGUGAAGAAGGUCUUCGGAUUGUGAAGCACUUUAAGUUGGGAGGAAGGGCAGUAAGUUAAUACCUUGCUGUUUUGACGUUACCAACAGAAUAAGCACCGGCUAACUUCGUG
RNAcentral lists this ribosomal RNA (484 nucleotides) under uncultured bacterium. Its description in RNAcentral is "partial 16S ribosomal RNA". It matches the Rfam family "Bacterial small subunit ribosomal RNA", at positions 30 to 507 of the family's 1533-position model. The record is from RNAcentral.